Molecule: long non-coding RNA, 1422 nt
Filed under: Callithrix jacchus (white-tufted-ear marmoset)
Lineage: Eukaryota; Metazoa; Chordata; Mammalia; Primates; Cebidae
Description: lncRNA (ENSCJAG00000060107.2)
Source: RNAcentral
UGCCCGGGGCAAGUGCCGGCAUGCAUCAUCACCUUCAAUGACCCCAGUUAAGGUGGUGGGAAUUGACACAUGGAUUCUUCACACUCGGCUGAAGCUUUGGACGCCUCCUGAAGAAAGUCAUAAACCCUCCGCUCCACCACCUGAAGUUCCAAGAGACGACUCUCUGUACACCUGCGAGCCGUUCGAGGAUCUGCAUCUCCUCUUACAACAAUAUCCCCAGGAAAGUAACGGCUCAUGCGUCUAAUUUACAUCCUCGCAUUAACAGGACUGUAACUCUUAACUUUGCUAUCACUCAAACUGCAAUUAUUCCUUUCAUGGAGUAGAGGGAGGGGUCAAAAACAUAGAAAAACUUGGUGCUGGCAUUAGAAAAGUUACUACCUCUAUUCAGUUACUAUAAGCUGUCUCAGGAAUUAAUAACAUAAAAGUGUUGCUAAUGUUCUCUGCAAAGGCAGCUCACUCUGCAAAACAGCUUCACUCUUUGGCUGCCUUAGCUCUUCAGGGUAAAAGGACCCUAAAUCUACUAACAACAGGAAGAGAGGAAAUCUGCCUCUUUCUAGAAAGAAAUGCUGCUACUUUGCAAAAAGUGCUGUUUUAAACAAAGUUAAAGAACUCGGGAAUCAAUCAAACACAGAGCUAAAAACCUUCAAGAAAUAGUGCUUAUUUAACAACUGGCUGUCCUGACUAUAUCCUCUCCUAGGUCGGUCUAUAGCCAUUCUAUAAUUAUUGCCUCUGGGCUUUUUAUCUUUAACCUUCUUGUCACAUUCCUUUCUUCUAGAGCCAUAAGGUCAUAAAUAAUCCUACAAUUGGAACCCUGGAUGUCUUGACUCAUGAGCUCUAUCAUGGACAUCAGGAUCAACGUCCGCCCUGGAAAGACUUCCCUCUGGAGGAAACCUCAACUGCAGGGCCCCUUCCAUGCCCCAUUUCAGCAGGAAGCAGCUAAAGAGCAACCGAUGCCCGUGUCCAAACAGCAGUUGGACUUUCCUGUUUAAAGUGGGGGACUGAGGGAAUGUAUUCUCUUCCUGGGUGCCCAAGGGGGCAUAGUUUCAAAGGCAAGAACUUCCUAGUCCUGUACACCCCCACCGCAUGUCUCCAUCUGGGAUCUUAGAGGUCUUUGUUUAACUUUCACCUGUGUAGGAAAGACUCAAAGGUCAACCAUUCCAGCAGAAGUUUAAAAAAACUCCUACCAUAGGACAGAAAAUUUGAAUGGGGCAGGAAGCUCUCCCAGGUUAAAAGUUCCCUUCUUCCACUACUUUGUGAAAGCUGCUUUUCUUUCUUUGUUUACUCUUUCUCUGCCUAAAUAAAUCACUUUCUGCAAAACUCUUUGGGGUCAACUAUUUACUUAUGAGCACACUGCUCCCAGCGUGGUCUGCCUUCCCAUUCUUGGGUGAGUGAGGGACCAAGGGCCUGGAAGAACACUUCCUA